GACGAACGCUGGCGGCGUGCCUAAUACAUGCAAGUUGAGCGAUGAAGAUUGGUGCUUGCACCAAUUUGAAGAGCAGCGCACGGGUGAGUAACGCGUGGGGAAUCUGCCUUUGAGCGGGGGACAACAUUUGGAAACGAAUGCUAAUACCGCAUAACAACUUUAAACAUAAGUUUUAAGUUUGAAAGAUGCAAUUGCAUCACUCAAAGAUGAUCCCGCGUUGUAUUAGCUAGUUGGUGAGGUAAAGGCUCACCAAGGCGAUGAUACAUAGCCGACCUGAGAGGGUGAUCGGCCACAGUGGGACUGAGACACGGCCCAAACUCCUACGGGAGGCAGCAGGAGGGAAUCUUCGGCAAUGGACGAAAGUCUGACCGAGCAACGCCGCGUGAGUGAAGAAGGGUUUCGGAUCGUAAAACUCUGUUGGUAGAGAAGAACGUUGGUGAGAGUGGAAAGCUCAUCAAGUGACGGUAACUACCCAGAAAGGGACGGCUAACUACGUG
Molecule: ribosomal RNA, 497 nt
Filed under: uncultured bacterium
Lineage: Bacteria
Description: partial 16S ribosomal RNA
Rfam family: Bacterial small subunit ribosomal RNA
Source: RNAcentral